AUUGAACGCUGGCGGCAUGCUUUACACAUGCAAGUCGAACGGCAGCGCGGGCUUCGGCCUGGCGGCGAGUGGCGAACGGGUGAGUAAUGCAUCGGAACGUGCCCAGUAGUGGGGGAUAGCCCGGCGAAAGCCGGAUUAAUACCGCAUACGACCUGAGGGUGAAAGCGGGGGACCGAAAGGCCUCGCGCUAUUGGAGCGGCCGAUGUCGGAUUAGCUAGUUGGUGGGGUAAAGGCUUACCAAGGCGACGAUCCGUAGCUGGUCUGAGAGGACGACCAGCCACACUGGGACUGAGACACGGCCCAGACUCCUACGGGAGGCAGCAGUGGUGAAUUUUGGACAAUGGGGGCAACCCUGAUCCAGCCAUGCCGCGUGCGGGAAGAAGGCCUUCGGGUUGUAAACCGCUUUUGUUCGGGAAGAAAUCCUCUGGGCUAAUACCCCGGGGGGAUGACGGUACCGGAAGAAUAAGCACCGGCUAACUACGUG
RNAcentral lists this ribosomal RNA (484 nucleotides) under uncultured bacterium. Its description in RNAcentral is "partial 16S ribosomal RNA". It matches the Rfam family "Bacterial small subunit ribosomal RNA", at positions 28 to 507 of the family's 1533-position model. The record is from RNAcentral.